This 476-nucleotide ribosomal RNA is filed under the name uncultured bacterium. RNAcentral's name for it is "SSU rRNA". It matches the Rfam family "Bacterial small subunit ribosomal RNA", at positions 26 to 521 of the family's 1533-position model. The record is from RNAcentral.
AGGAUGAACGCUGGCGGCGUGCCUAACACAUGCAAGUCGAACGUCCUGUCUCGCAAGAGGCAGGGAGUGGCGGACGGGUGAGUACCACGUGGGUCAUCUACCGUGAGGUGAGGAAUACCGGCGAGAAAUCGCCGACAAGACCGCAUAGGCUCGAUGCAAGUCGAGCAAAGCUCUUUCGAGAGAGGGAGCGCCACACGAGGAGCCUGCGCCCGAUUAGCUAGCUGGUGGAGUAACGGUUCACCAGGGCGACGAUCGGUAGCUGGUCUGAGAGGACGAUCAGCCACACUGGGAUUGAGAACGGUCCAGACUCCUACGGGGGGCAGCAGUGAGGAAUUUUCGUCAAUGGGGGCAACCCUGAACGAGCAACGCCGCGUGCAGGAAGAAGGUUUUCGGAUCGUAAACUGCUUUUCUCGGGGACGAGCAAGGACGGUACCCGAGGAAGAAGCCCCGGCUAACUACGUGCCAGCAGCCGCGGU